AACGGCCGCGGUACCCUGACCGUGCGAAGGUAGCAUAAUCACUUGUUCUUUAAAUGGGGACUCGUAUCAACGGCACCACGAGGGUCACACUGUCUCCCCCCUCCAAUCAGUGAAACUGACUCUCCGUGAAGAAGCGGGGAUUUUACUAUAAGACGAGAAGACCCCAUGGAGCUUUAAACCCGACAACAACUCCACUCACUCAUAUCCUCCUAUCAACUGGAGCCCUGUUUAAUCGGUUUUAGGUUGGGGUGGCCGCGGAGCAUAAAAAAAUCUCCACGAAGAAUGGAUUUAUACCCUAAUCCAAGAGAUACACCUCUAAGAAUUAGCAAACUAAUAUUUAAUGAUCCGAUACUUAUUCGAUCAACGAACCAAGUUACCCUGGGGAUAACAGCGCAAUCCACUUUGAGAGCCCAUAUCGACAAGUGGGUUUACGACCUCGAUGUUGGAUCAGGGUAUCCUAGUGGUGCAGCAGCUACUGAAGGUUCGUUUGUUCAACGAUUAAAACCCU
RNAcentral lists this ribosomal RNA (508 nucleotides) under Boophis lichenoides. Its description in RNAcentral is "partial 16S ribosomal RNA". It matches the Rfam family "Bacterial large subunit ribosomal RNA", at positions 1926 to 2597 of the family's 2925-position model. Lineage: Eukaryota; Metazoa; Chordata; Amphibia; Anura; Mantellidae. The record is from RNAcentral.